UCGACUCUAUUUUAGUUCAUUUACUCCCUCUGUAUCUAGCGUCUUUGCUUAUUUAGGAAAAAUCCGUGUAGAUGAUUUUAUUUUUGUGUGUUCGGAUAAUGAAUGUUUUAAGCAUGACUAUGAUUCUACUUCAGUUAAGUUAAGUUAUUUUUCUUUUGCUACCUGUCAUGCUGAAAUUUUCUUGAAAUCCUAUUCUUUGUUCCUUUCAUUUAUCAUGUGGAUGAGUAUAAAUGUUAUCAUGACUUAGAAUAUUUACUUUGAUAGGUUGUUUAACUUUAUUCAUCCUUUUAAUCACAUGUAUGAAGGUUUAAUGAAAAUGUUACUGUCUCGGGUCAUAUUUCUAUGUGUUACUGUGCUGAUUUAUAUAUUUUCAUAGGGUAGAAGUAUUUAGAUCUUUGUUCAAAGCUUUUAAGUGAUGAUACUUUCCUUAUAAAACAUGUACAUAAUCUACUGAUUUGUUUUGAACUUAUAUUUUACAUGGUUAAUCUUAUUCGUCGAGCAGGUACUAAUCUUUUUCUUUUAUUUUUAUCUUUGCAUGACAUCUCGUAUAUGAGUCCGGGUGACUCGUCGUCUUCUCCCACAUUCGGUGUUGGGCCAAGGCCCAACGAAACAUCACUCCUCCCUCUAUCCAGAUCUGUCCGCAACAAUACAUAAAAGAAAAUCUGGGUCGAAGCCCAACAGUGAACAGCCGCAACAGACCACAUCAGUUUUCUUUGGAAAAUGGGCUGAGCCCAUUUACAUCAUACCUACUCCUCUAUUUUUAUUUUUGUAUGCAUUUAAUGUGUAUUGUAUGACUAACAUUUUUCUUGUUUGUUAAUUUAGGUAAACUUUAGUGACAUUAAGGGCUUUAGUUUAGUAAUGGGUAGUUAAUUCCACAAAUCACAUUCACUUCUAUUUUUUAAACUAUUUAUGGUAUCUAUAAUAUUUAUUUGAAUAAUUGAUUUUCAAAUAGUAUGCCUAUAUAUUUUUGGGUUAAAAGAAUCAUUUCUCAUUAUUACCAUCUUAGGAAUUUCAAAAUGUCACUAACACACAAAAUAUGAAACCAAUUGUAUUUUAUAAACAUUUUUAAGAUUUACCCAAUUAUACAUAUUUUAGCCGAAAAAAAUAAAUAAAAAGAAAUUCAUGGCCUUUUUCAUCAAAUUUAAGAACAUAAGUCCAGGCAUUUCUAUACCAUCAUAUUCAUAUAAUAUCGUUUUUACUUAAAGAUCACUUUUGUCAAAUUAUCGUUUAAAAGGCUAUUAUUCAAAGGCAAAUCAUCCUAUUUUCUACAAAUCUUAUUUUGUGAAUAACAUUACUAUUUAAGGCCUUAGCAAUACUUUCAAGAUAUUUUCUUAAAAUAUUUAAAAUACUAUAUUUACACUUAAGCCUAACAAAUUAUAAGUCCGGUCGGUUAACCAUUGUUAAUGGGUCUUAAAGGAUGCCUAAUACCUUCCCUUUAGACUAAUUGAACCCUUACCUAGAAUUUUAAGUUUCGCAGACCUUAAACAGAGCUAACUUUAAACUUUAGGUGUCCUAAUUCACCAUAAAUAAUUAGGUGGCGACUCCUUAAAACAAAUAAACAAAAAAUAGGAAUCUCCAAUAUGUUGUACCUCUACUUUAACCCGGUUAAAAUGGGGUAUGACAGCUUGGCGACUCUGCUGGGGAUUACUUAGGUUCUAACCAUAACGGACUUAGUUUAAAUAGGCUUUGUGUGCUUAUUUAAUUACUUUAUUUGUUGUUAACUGUUUUUACACGCUAUUAAUUGUUUAUUUGAUAUAAAUUGUUUAAGUGUUACUGCUUUGAUAAAUUGUCAUUCCGUUCAUACUUCUUCCACUUCUGGAAAGCUCACACUAUCACACGUACACGCGAGGUGUCUUAGCGCACCCGCAAAUUUCUUCGUAGAAUCCAAAUUUUAGGAGAGUUGGCGUAUGCGCGGGGUGUCCGAAUAACGGUGACCGCGUAGCCUUCUCACUCGAGUUGUCCGCUCGGGAACCUUGCGUCCAGUUGUUACACUCCAUAAUAAUCUGUGCUACUUGUAUUAAAACAAGAAAAAAUGAGUUAAGAAGGUUCAAGGAAAGUUAAUCGAGUUAGUAAGAAUAUCGUUAUAUAUACAUGGUUUCCUUAAGUAUCCCAAGGCGACACGGUUACCUAAAGGGUGUGGAAUCGCGCUAUGAGUAUGUAUAUGAAGUAAUGCGAGUGACCUUUUAAAGUAUUUGAGAUUAUUAGUAAUGAUAUAGAGGGUGGACAAAAGAUAUGAAUAUACUUUUGCGAUUGGAGUUUCGUCAAAGCUUUGUGAGUUCUCUAGUUAUGUUUAAGGUUAUUGUGAGUCUCUGGACCCUUCAAGAUGUGUAUAUGGAUUUUUUUAUUGAUGUAUAUAAGUGUGAAUAUGUAUGCAUAAGAGGUUACAUAAGGUUGGAAGAGGAUUAGAAGUUAAACGAAAUGAAUCGGAACAACUUCAGUAAAAUUUCGGACCCGAUUUUAGUCUAUAUUGUAGGAGGCAUAUCUCCUUGAAUAUGAGGAGUUUUAAGGUGUUUCAAAAGCCUAAAAUGAAGUUCAUCGAGUCUAGUUUAUAAUGCAACAAACCGCUCGUCAAAAUGAUAUCGGGAUAAGGAGAUAUGGACGAUGCAAGUUGGGCUGGCAGGGCAGCAAGUUUGGACCCGACCCAAACACUCACAUUUCGGCCCAUGAGGCCCAUUAAACUCAAUAGAUAAGUCACCACUUUGCCCUAUAUCAUUUCACACGACCUAAAACAGAUCCAAAACCCUUAUUUUCUCUCCCAAACCCCCUUUCUAAUUGAGCCAUCAUAUAAGCUAAAUCCUAGACCCUUGACAUGAUAUUAGUUAAAGAGAAGUUGUAGCUUAAGUUUUUUUUUGUGUUGUUAAGCAAGCAGCUGGAAAGAGGAACAAGAUUCUUGAAGAUUCUGAUUGCUAAAGGAAACGUUGAUAUACAAGCUAGAGAGAGAGAGAGCAUAAGCCAUGGCAUUCGGCCAUGGCUAGCAAAAUUGGAGCUCAAAUUUGUUGAUCCAAAAAUCAGAUUUUCUAGGUAUUUCAGCCCUUAGGAAGGUGAUAAUAACGUGGAGAAUUCAUUUGGAGCAACAAGAACAAGUAUUAGUGCAUUUCACAAAUUCUAGCUAAGUGGAAAAAGCCAACUUGUUAAGGUAAGAGUUGAUCAUUUUUCUAUGUGUUUGAUGAUGAAGUUGGACGUGUGGGGAAUAUGCAAAUGUAAAUUGUAUGUGUGAAAUUAUGUAUCUUGAUGUUGAAGCAUAGUUGUAACUUGGUAACAUGAAUUGCACGAAUGUUGGAAUGUUGUUGAAAUGUUGUUGAAUGCCGUAGGGGCUGUUUUUAAUUGAAAUUUGAUGGACUGAUUUGAAUUAAUAUUUUGGUUGUUGUAAUCAUAGAUUAUGUGAUGAGAAUGAAGGAAUUUAAUGGUUAGAGUUGGAGUUAAAAUUGUUGUGGGUUGUUGUAAGGAUUAUAGAGAUAAUAAUGUGAUUUACUUGCAUAUGGAUAGAUGAUGUGGUGUCGUGUGGCUGCUGUUGUAUUUCCCUGAAAUUUGCUGAAAAGAUGGCAUGAAAUAAGUCGUAAGAAGUGUAUAUGGGCUGCUUGGUGUGUUGUAAGUGUUCGUUAGAAUUUCGGGCAUCGUUAUGUUAUAAUUUAGGGGCUGUUUUCGGCCCAAUUUGGAGAAAUUGUUGGAUCGUUGGAAAUAUUAUGUGAAUUGUUUAGAAUGUUCUUGAAUGUUGUUAGUAUGGGUUUGGGUUAGUAUUUGAAUGUAUAGGCGUUGAUGUUGGCUUGAAGGUAAGCCGUUGAAUUGAAUAUUUGGAAAGUUGUCGAAUGAUGAAAAAGAGAGUAUUAAUGUAAUAUUGUCUUUCGGAUUGGUUAUUGGAGUUGCUAGGUUGGUUAUUGUGGUUGUUGUGGUUGAUUUUGAGCGAGUUAAAUUCUCGGGAUGGCCUAUUUACAGGGGAAGUGCUGCCGAAUUUUCUGUAGAAUUUAAUGUUAGUUUGGAAUGAAUGGCUUAAGUGCCUAUGUUUAAUAUUGGAUAUUCGUUGGCAUAUUUGUAGACCUUGGGGAGCCCGAGGCGUAGAUUGGAAUUUACUUUAGAUUGGCUAUCUUGGAGUGCGUACGAGGUAUGUAAAGCGCAACCCUUCUUUCUUUUGGCAUGCCUUAGUUUUCAAUAGGCUAUAUCACGAGCCUCGAGGAAAUUCCAAAUUCGAAAUCCGAGCACGUUAUGAUCCUUAUAUAUAUUUCUUGGCAUUCUUAUGUAUGUUGUGAUGAAGUAUGAACAAUUAUGUCUUCGAAAGCAUUGAUUUCCAAACUUUGUACAAAAAGUUGUUUUAAAGAAUUCCGUAACUACGAAAUGCCAUAUCUUUUGCAUAAAGGCUCGGAUUGCUCCAAUAUUUUCAUAAGAGUUUGCAUGAUGUAUAAUGAGUAUGUUUUCCAUGAGCGGGCCCGAUUCGGGUCGAUACCCGUUCGUGGGUCCCGCGACUUUUCUUUAUGUAAUUCGGACGACUUUUGAAAGAAUUUGGUAUGAUUAUCAUUUCGAAUUUCAAAUAUGAUCAUUUUACUUAUGUUUGAAUUUAUGAUAAUGAUUUUAUGCAUAUGACUACUCUAUUAACUACUAAACAAAAAUUGUUUUAAAUAAUUCAUUAAGUCUUAUAAAUUGUUUUGGCCCUCGGAACGACUUCAGAAAGGUAUGCUUCUGUAAUUCAUUAUGACAUCCGAAACUCACUUAUUAUGAUCCCGUCUGACUUCAUUGAAUUGGUUUGCCAUUGAUAUGCCUCAUCGAGUCUCUGAAAAUAUUUAUGAUAUUUUAACUGCAUUUAGUUUCUCACUACUCUAUUCGUGGAUGCCCCAAUGUUUCCCACACUGAGCCCGGGCCAGGAUAUGUUGUCAAGCGUAAUCCUCUGCAUUGUUCGCCGUGCCUCGAUGUGAGGGGGCAGGUAUACGUGUACAUGGGUUUGUGGAGUAUGCUGUGCCAUGUACACAUGUUCUGAUAUGAUUUGCCAUGGCCAUCUGAUAUGAUAUACUAUGUUACGGGGUUAUGCCCCUAUUCUGAUUCUUCUGUGUUGUGGCACCAGCGUCGGGAGGGUGGCCACGUUCUGUUUGCCGAGUCCCUUGGCAGGGGCCGGAUUUGAUAUGACAUAUGUUUCUGUACACACUCCGCAUGUUUUGAAGAUAUGUAUUUGAUACUUUGGAUUUUCUACUCACUUUUUCUGUACGUUCUGUACCAGUUAUGAUUUUGGUUCUGUAAUUCAGGCUUUACAUAUUCAGUACAUAUUUCGUACUGACCCCCUUUCUUCGGGGGCUGCGUUUUCAUGCCGCGCAGGUACCGACGACAGGUUUGCUGAUCCGUCCGUCUAGGAUAUCUUUUCUGCCAUUUGGAGCGCUAUUUUAUUCAGAGCCCAUCUUUUGGUAUGGAUAUGCAUUGGAGUACAACAAAUGACGAAGAUCAAUGACAUCACCAAACGGAGCUGAAAUUUAGACAUAGAAAAUUGUAUUUACUUUGCUCAGAUUAGGAAACACUUUAUGUUGUAUUCAUUUGACAUGUAAUAAAUAUUACACUACUUUUGAACUUUAUUUUGGGGAAAUAGAAUUUGUUUAAUUAAUCAAAGCAACUGGAUGACG
Molecule: long non-coding RNA, 5597 nt
Organism: Lycium barbarum (goji berry)
Lineage: Eukaryota; Viridiplantae; Streptophyta; Magnoliopsida; Solanales; Solanaceae
Exons: 3
Source: RefSeq, a predicted model, not a curated record